UACGAAGGGGGCUAGCGUUGUUCGGAAUUACUGGGCGUAAAGGGCGCGUAGGCGGCUUGAUAAGUCGGGGGUGAAAGCCUGUGGCUCAACCACAGAAUUGCCUUCGAUACUGUCGAGCUUGAGACCGGAAGAGGUAAGUGGAACUGCGAGUGUAGAGGUGAAAUUCGUAGAUAUUCGCAAGAACACCAGUGGCGAAGGCGGCUCACUGGCUCGGUACUGACGCUGAGGUGCGAAAGCGUGGGGAGCAAACAGG
Molecule: ribosomal RNA, 253 nt
Filed under: uncultured bacterium
Lineage: Bacteria
Description: partial 16S ribosomal RNA
Rfam family: Bacterial small subunit ribosomal RNA
Source: RNAcentral